This 235-nucleotide ribosomal RNA is filed under the name uncultured bacterium. Its description in RNAcentral is "partial 16S ribosomal RNA". It matches the Rfam family "Bacterial small subunit ribosomal RNA", at positions 542 to 776 of the family's 1533-position model. The record is from RNAcentral.
UGUUCGGAUUCACUGGGCGUAAAGGGCACGUAGGCGGCUUUGCAAAUCGGUCGUGGAAUCCCGACGCUUACCGUCGGAACGGCGGCCGAAAAUACCGAGCUCGAGGGCGCGAGGGGUCACUGGAACUCCUGGUGAAGCGGUGAAAUGCGUAGAUAUCAGGAGGAACGCCGGAGGCGAAAGCGAGUGACUGGCGCGUUCCUGACGCUGAGGUGCGAAAGCUAGGGGAGCAAACAGG